This 1969-nucleotide long non-coding RNA is filed under the name Cricetulus griseus (Chinese hamster). RNAcentral's name for it is "lncRNA (ENSCGRG00015039898.1)". Lineage: Eukaryota; Metazoa; Chordata; Mammalia; Rodentia; Cricetidae. The record is from RNAcentral.
GGCCUGGGCUGGGGAAGGUGGGUCUCAGUACUUGGCCUGCUGAGUCUUCACCCCUAGAUGAGCUCUAAAUGAGAACAACCCUAUUACCACCUUCCUUAGGCUGGCUGCAGUGUGAGUGCAGAAACAGGACACCCUGAGGGAUGUGUGACCUAACAGUGGGAUUAGUCUGGGCAGCCUGCUGGUCUGUGGCUCAGUCCUCAGCUUUGGCAAAUCUAGUCAGAGGCACCCCAGUCCCAGCCUCCUCCAUCUCCAGAGCCACACAGGUCUGGAUCCUCGUUGCCAUGGCAAUAGUUUUGGGAACCUAGGAAGACCCAGCUUCUUCUCUCCUCCUGCCAGGCAGGCGUGGAGCAGACAACAGGACCAUGGGGUCAGGGAAGCAGCUGGCACCUCCCCCAGGAGGGGAGUAUCAGGCUGGGGACACAGUUGGUUUGGUCAGCCUAGGCCAGGCAGGACACUAGAGUAUCAAUGAGGCCUCGGGUACAAUGUCCCUGGAACUGAGCCUGAAGUCCCCCACCUAAACAAUGGCAGAACAGGGUGAAGAAUCAUGACCCUCCUAGCUGUGAAAUCACAGCUAAGAGCUGGUGAUGAGAAUUUGAAAGUCACCAGACCUCUUUAUUCCAGGACACCUCUUUCUCACCUUUGACCUUAGUCCAAAGGGCAGUGAGCCCAGAGCUUACCUGGCUCUAUCCUGACCUCAACCCAACUUCUUCUCCAGCUCCAUCUUGACCCCCAACUCCACUCCUACCCCAGUCAACACCCCCAUGUGCCCAGACAACUUGGCAUAGAACAGACCUGCCAUUUAGCAGGCAGCCAGCCUGCCCUCUGGCCCCUCACAAACAAUAGGGACUCCAGGAAUAUUGUCUACCCGGACUGAAUCAAACACUCUAAAUUUAGUCUGUCUGAUGCACCCUCUGCUUCCUGCCCCUGUUGCCCUCCUUUCAAGGGGAUGAGGUCACCCCGGAACUGCAUGCCUUGGCAGCCAGACCCAGGGGGUUUCCAGGUCCAGGGCAUUCUCCUGCUCUUGGGAAAUGGACCAUGGGGAUCAGAGGUCCUGAGUCCUUCCUCCUGCCCCACCCCACUGUGUUCCAGGAUCUUCUCCAAAGUGUUUUAGGGAUAACCCAUGCUUGCAGAAGCGAGAGAGUGGAAGCAAAACCAAUGGCCAGGCAGGCUUUGUCCCUGCCCUGGAGGUGACAGCCUGAGGGAAGGACAGUCAGCAAAUAAACAAGGAGUGAGCAGGGCUAUCUCAGCAGUGUCAGGGUAGCAUAAAGGACACAAAUCAGAAAUCUGAUCAACAGACACAGAGUGGGUGGAGACCUUGGCUUAAGAAAGAGGUCAGAGCAGGCUUCUGUGAGAGUGACAUUUGAGCUGAGACUUGAAUGACCAGGAGGCUGCAGUCCUAGGUUGGGCCACUCCCUGAAGGCCAGAGGAGGGGUGACUCAGGAUGCUACCUCAGCGCCUCUUGGUUCACAGAUAACCCUGAUGCCAGGGAAGGUGAAAGGCUCCAGCUAACCUUCUAGUCUACAGAAGCAAGAUUUGGGCGCCAUCCCAACUGAACUGUGACCAUCUGUCAGACUUCGUUUCCCCAAGGGUGUCCCAAGGUUCUGGGUGAACACUGAACACCAGGACACAGAUCUUGCCCUAGCUUCAACACACUCCAGAGUCCCUGCCUUGUUGGCUGUGGCUGCACUAUCCCACUUGGUUUCUCCUCUCCCUGGCCACUUAGGAGAGGCAGAAAUCUUUCUGAGAGCUGGAUGGUGGAGCACGCCUUUAAUCCCAGCACUUGGAAGGCAGAGGCAGGCAGAUCUCUGUGAGUUUGAGGCCGGCCUGGUCUACAGAGCGAGUUCCAGGACAGGCUCCAAAAACUACACAGAGGAAUGGGAGUCCCAGGAGGCAGAACAUCUCAGUUGUAGUAGGUGACAGAUACCUGGUGAAGGUAUCAACUCAGAAGCCCAGCAGUCUUCACUAUGAG